AUGUACAUUCCUACAACAUUAAUUCACUGGAUAUCAUUAGAACUCCAUAAUUAAGCGCACUUGGGCUAGAGUAGUACUGGGAUGGGUGACCUGCCGGGAAGUCUUAGUGUUUUACAUG
Picea glauca (white spruce) is the source of this 118-nucleotide non-coding RNA. NCBI's taxonomy places the organism in Eukaryota, Viridiplantae, Streptophyta, Pinopsida, Pinales, Pinaceae. The record is from Rfam.